GGGAAUUCGACCCCAUGGAUCUCAAUAACCCGCUAUCUAGCAAUGCUGGAUCAGUACACUUGUGGCAUGGUGCAGAGGAUCUAAUUGUGCCGGUGACCCUGUCGCGAUACAUCAGUCAAAAGCUUCCUUGGAUUCACUACCAUGAGGUCCCGGACGGUGGCCACUUGUUUGCAAUAGCAGAUGGCAUGGGUGAUAGAAUUGUCAAGGCCCUUAUAAGGGAUCCAUGAAUUCACUUGAAUCUAAACUGAAGUUCCCGCACACAUCACUUCAUGAUUUUAGUAAACAUAAGAGGCUUCUCUUGAUCUCUAUCUAUCGUAUGUACACGACUUUUUUAGAAUUUUGAAGUGC
This 348-nucleotide unclassified non-coding RNA is filed under the name Hevea brasiliensis (rubber tree). Lineage: Eukaryota; Viridiplantae; Streptophyta; Magnoliopsida; Malpighiales; Euphorbiaceae. The record is from RNAcentral.